GAUGAAGAACGUAGCGAAAUGCGAUAAGUAAUGUGAAUUGCAGAAUUCAGUGAAUCAUCGAAUCUUUGAACGCACAUUGCGCCCCCUGGUAUUCCGGGGGGCAUGCCUGUUCGAGCGUCAUUUCACCACUCAAGCCUCGCUUGGUAUUGGGCAACGCGGUCCGCCGCGUGCCUCAAAUCGACCGGCUGGGUCUUCUGUCCCCUAAGCGUUGUGGAAACUAUUCGCUAAAGGGUGUUCGGGAGGCUACGCCGUAAAACAACCCCAUUUCUAAGGUUGACCUCGGAUCAGGUAGGGAUACCCGCUGAACUUAAGCAUAUCAAUAAGCGGAGGA
Molecule: unclassified non-coding RNA, 331 nt
Filed under: soil metagenome
Description: partial contains 5.8S ribosomal RNA, internal transcribed spacer 2, and large subunit ribosomal RNA
Rfam family: 5.8S ribosomal RNA (bases 1-120)
Source: RNAcentral